Molecule: ribosomal RNA, 253 nt
Filed under: uncultured bacterium
Lineage: Bacteria
Description: partial 16S ribosomal RNA
Rfam family: Bacterial small subunit ribosomal RNA
Source: RNAcentral
UACGUAGGGGGCAAGCGUUGUCCGGAAUCAUUGGGCGUAAAGAGCGUGUAGGCGGCUCGGUAAGUCCGCUCUGAAAGCCCGGGGCUCAACCCCGGGAGGCGGGCGGAUACUGUCGGGCUAGAGUCCGGAAGAGGCGAGUGGAAUUCCUGGUGUAGCGGUGAAAUGCGCAGAUAUCAGGAGGAACACCAAUGGCGAAGGCAGCUCGCUGGGACGGUACUGACGCUGAGACGCGAAAGCGUGAGGAGCAAACAGG